GCUGUUCUGGCCGAGUGGUCUAAGGCGCUGCGUUCAGGUCGCAGUCCACUUCUGUGGGCGCAGGUUCGAAUCCUGCGGACAGCA
This is a non-coding RNA of Pristionchus pacificus, 84 nucleotides long. The record is from Rfam. NCBI's taxonomy places the organism in Eukaryota, Metazoa, Nematoda, Chromadorea, Rhabditida, Neodiplogasteridae.